UUCUGGUGAACAGGUCAGAUAUCGUCCAAAUACUCCUCUUGUGCUCAAAGGCAUUACUUUAAGCAUUACCGGAGGCGAAAAAGUCGGUGUUGUGGGUCGAACUGGGAGUGGAAAGUCAACUUUAAUUCAAGUAUUAUUUAGGCUGGUGGAACCUUCGGGAGGGAAAAUAGUGGUUGAUGGUAUUGACAUAUCCAUCUUGGGACUUCACGAUCUUAGAUCACGGUUUGGCAUAAUUCCUCAGGAGCCUGUGCUUUUUGAAGGAACAGUCAGAAGCAACAUUGAUCCAAUUGGACAAUAUACAGAUGAAGAAAUAUGGAAGGUAAGUAGCGAACCAAUUGAAAUCUGUAAACUUUUCGGAUGAAGAUUUUGAAUCCAUGAGUCUAAUAACUGUGUUGUGGUAGAGCUUGGAGCGUUGUCAGCUAAAAGAUGUUGUUGCAGCUAAGCCUGAAAAACUUGACUCUUCAGGUAGAGAGAGAUUUUCCUGAUUGAUUUGGGUUGUUUAGUUUUCUUCAUUUUUGUACUAAUGAGAAAGAUGUGUUUGAACAAUGAAGUGGUGGAAAACGGAGAGAACUGGAGUGUGGGGCAAAGACAGUUGCUUUGUCUAGGGCGAGUUAUACUUAAGAAAAGCCGACUUUUGUUUAUGGAUGAGGCAACAGCUUCUGUUGAUUCUCAAACUGAUAGUGUUAUUCAAAAGAUCAUAAGAGAGGAUUUUGCAGCAUGCACCAUCAUCAGCAUUGCUCACAGAAUACCCACAGUCAUGGACUGUAACAGAGUUUUAGUUGUAGACGCAGGUAUAUCUAUAUUUAUAUCUAUAUAUUCUGAUACUCUCAUUGCGUUGCAUUGCAUUGCUCACUGCAUGAUCCUUGUGCUUUUUCCAUAUAGUAGCCUGAAUUUGCUGUUUUUUCUGUGUCAGGUUUGGCGAAAGAAUAUGACAAGCCUUCCAAUUUGCUUCAGAGAGAAUCUCUGUUCGGGGCAUUAGUUCAAGAAUAUGCCAACCGAUCCACUGAACUAUAAGAAAUUAAGAGUCUCUUUAUGCUCCUAGUGUUGGUUUUUUUUUGGCCUAGUAUAGUUGUUAGUUAAAAACACAAUAAAAGUGUAAUAAAUUUUAGGACUGUUGCCAAAUUGUAUUAUAUAUAAUAUUAUAUAUUAUAUAUCAUACAUUGUCUCUAGAAUGAAGAUUUUGUUACCAACUUCAAAAUUCAAGGAAAAAUCGUUUAUCGAAAUUAAUCAUGAUAUUUUUAAAAAUAAAUAAAAUUAAAAAAAACAAAAUCCUAAGUUACUAAAAAUAGAUUAAAAUACCACAAAACACAGAAAUAUCUAUUAUUCCUAAUAUAUUAUAAAUAUAAUGUGUACCUUGUUCGUUGUUGGUUGCAGCGAGCUUCUUCGGGUGUAUAGGGUUUGGAAAGUGAAAUGAAAGAGUGAAGAUUGUGGUGUUAAGGUUGGGAAAAUAAAGUUUGAGAAAAAAGUGAGUGGAUGGGCUAAAAUAUAAGGAGAGAAUAAAUUUCUUUUUACCUUAGUAAAAAAGUCCAUGAUACUUUCAAGGAUUUAAAAAAAUUUAAGAAUGCCGAAAGAAAAAUUAGAGAUGCAAUAAGAAAGCCCCUCCACAAAACUCUCACACAAAGUGAGUUCCAAAGCCCAAUUGGAUUUGAAUUACAGUAAAAACUAUAAUUAAAUCUUUUAAGUACUUAAAAUAUUAUAAAUUAUAAAUUGAUCUUUAAAUAUUUUCGUUGAUUAUAAAAGAACUUUCAUUGAUUAAAAGAAUUUAAUUGAGUUUUAUUAUUUAAGAUUCAAUUAAAAGGUCAGAAUCUAACUCAUUUUAAGUCUACUAAACCCUUAUUCUGUUUGAGCUAUCUAUAUAUUGUUGGAUAUUAUAUAAUCUUGUCUUAUGUCUAAGUUUGAAUUAAAAUGAUUUAUUUUGAAUUGAGCUUAACUCAAUAAACUCAAAAUGCGUUCAACUCGACUUGUUUCAACACUACUUAAUUCUACUCGUGGUGGAGCCUAUAGGAUGACAAAUGAACUUAUGUUAUAGAAUUCAAAAUGUUUUAAUCUUGAAAGGGAAUCUUUGCAUUAAUUGGAUAUGAUGGUAAUAUCUAUUUUUUUUUUAAAUUAGAUGAGACUUGGAUGAGUAUAUACAUAUGUCCCAUACUCCUUUGCAUUUUAAAUUAUUAAAACACUUUUGAUUUAUAAGGUAAUAUAAAAAAAAAAAAAGCUUUAUACCUCUUUUCUUGAGAGAGGGGAAUGUUUAAAGUGAUUCUACCUUCUUAAAAGAGUUGGAAAAGGUUAAAUUGUGAAAAAACGGGUCAAGUUAAUUCUUUUUACUUAUAGCAUUAAAAAUUUAACGGUGCAAGUGCCUCCUUGGCCAAAUCUUAAUGAACUGUCCACUUUUUCUCGUAUGUGACACAUUGAGGUAAUAUGAUGUGUCAAAUUUGAAUUUUAAAAAAAAUUGCUUGCCACAUCAACUUCAACUUCCCCCUCCAGAAACAUUAUAGUCACAAACCGCCACCAUCAACACCUUAGACCAUUGCUAAGGCUACCUGCUUCUUCCUAACAACCAGAUCACAUUUUCCUCCUCUAUGUGUCACCGCAACGAAACCAAAAAACCACCAUCAUCUUCUCCGCCAAACUUUUGAAAAAACUCAGAAUCAACCACGUGAACUCCAUCAACAACCGUGAACAAUCACGGCCAGCCACCAUGGCCAAUGUUCAUCUCCUUCCUAACGAUUCAACCAUAGUGAUACCUGUAAUCCCAAAUCUACAAGCAAAUCGCGCAUCUCCACAACAAAACCCAAUUACAAUAUUCUUCAUGGUAACCAAAACGCGAGCUCCUCCACCAAUCUCCUCCUUCGAAACCUGCAAGAAAUUGCAAAGACCUAAAGAAACCCAAAUCGAGCCUCAUCCAUAGUUACCGAGAACCUGCGAAAACCAAAUUCCAGAUGAAUACUAAUCACAGGAUAGGAAAUCCCAAAUUAGGAACCCAAAUCGCAAGUUCAUCGCAAAUAAAAAAAACGCCUAACCCUCUCGCGAAAAUCAUCCAACCAAAAUUCACCAUCAGCGCAUCAAACUCUUUGAACCUGCAAGCAAACCCUUCAUAGCCAAUCUUCAUCGUGCCCGUUAACAUUUGCAUCUUAAACACAAAGCAAGCAGCUCCUUUCCUUUUAACCCUCUGCAAAAUAUUCUUUUUUAAAAAAUUAAAUUUUAUACGUCAUUUAACCUCACAAUGCCAUACAAUGACAACAACUCGACAACUCAUUGUGUUUUGUCUAGUGGGCUCCUCCAAAGUUACAAUUUUUAUACCAUAAACAAAAAAAUAUUAACUUGACUCGUUUCUUCACAAUUUAAAAAGUAUGACCACUUUGAACAUUUCCCUCAAAGAGAUAAAAAAAAGCAUUAUGCCUAUGGAAAAAGUAAACUUUUAUUUGGUUUCCAAUGUCAUAACUUAUUUUAUGACACAUUUUUUAUUAUUUUUUCUCUUUUCUAAAUUAUUUGACUUUUAUCUCAUUAUUAUUUGAUUAUAAUUUUUUUCUUGAUAUUUAACAUGAAAUAAAAUGUGCCUCCAUUUGAUAUUUUUUGUUGUGAUAUUUAUUUUUUGUAUAAAAAAAUUGUUAAUUAUAAAUGACUCCAGAUUGAGAUGAGACAAAAAAAUCUCAUAAUGUUGAAAACGAGAGUGAACUUUUAAUUUGGAAAAUAAGAAUUAGAUAAUCAUAUGCGCACUUGCCUUAUUAUCAUUCCUACUUGACUCCAUUCAAGUCAAUUUGAAGUGAUUCAACUAAGCUUGGACUAAAAGGGAUAGACUCAACUUAAUCUAAAAUUCACUCAACUAAACUAAGUUUGAAUCCGACAUUAUUUGUAUGUGUGACCCUACUCAUCGUAUACAUAACUCUAUUAAACCCAAAUUAAGAAGUCACUUUGAAUUCAAAUACGGAGAUAUAUUAAAGGUUUAAUAACCAAUUUUGUCUCCAGUUUCGUUGACAAAUAUCAAUUUAGUUACUCGUUUUAUAAGUGUUUGAAAUGGGUCAUCAUUUUCAAAAUUGAGUCAAAUUAGUCCCUUUUGUUAAACAGAAACAAAUGGUCUUAAGGGUUUAAUGAUUUAGCAUAAGAGAUAUUAUUUGCCAAAUCAUCAAGUCCUUAAAGUUGUUUGUUUCUGUUUGACCGAAGGGACUAAUUUGACUCAAAAUUUUGAAAGUAAGAACCCAUUUCAAACACUUUUAAAACGAGGGAUUAAAUUGAUAUUUAUCAACGAAACUGGGGACAAAAUUGGCUAUUAAACCUAUAUUAAAAGAUUAAGAAAACAUAUUAUUUAAAAAGAUUAAAAUAUGUAAAAAAAUAGUAAAAUGUAUUAUAUUAUUUUUAUUUUAUUGUAUAGUUUUGAUCUCUUUUCUCAUUUUUUUAAAUCAAAGUUACUUUAAAAAUUUUUAGUUUUUAUUUAUUUAGAAAAAUAUUGACACGUAAUCUAUUCGAAAAAAAAAAAAAGUUGCUUUUAUAAUACACGUUACCUUUGUCUGUCAUAGCUACUGAUAAUUGGAAAAUAUAACUGAAAAAGGAAAGACAAAAAGAUGGCCCCGCAUUUGUUACCUUGUAGCCAGCACAAGGAAGUCCAGGAACUAGCAGUUAAUUAAUUACUAUAUUUCGCCUACGCGUGAUGCACAAAAAGGGAAGGGAAGUAAGGUGCUUCUCCUUCAAAUGAGUUGUAAGCUUUCUACGUCUUCAACGUACUUUCAAUUUUUUAGCUGUAAUCACUCCCAAUGGUUAGAAGCAAUUAAUAAUUCAUAAUGCAAAAUGCUACCAGAAAUGGAAAACAUUGCUUGGUCUGAUUCAUAUCCCAUGUAAGUUAUUUAAUGUGCUAGUAUUUUACUAAGAAAAACUCCAUCAUUUUAUAGUGCAAAUUCCUGUGCAUGGUGUUGCCAUUGCUGCACCUUACUAUAACAAUUCAUUGAUACCUCUGGUUCUGAGAGGUGCAUGAAGUAACAGAGAGACUGAGAGCGAAAAGUUGAAGUUGAAGUUUCAUCACACAAGCAUGUCCCUUGCAUCUUCAACCCUCUCUUGUGCAUUCCCUGUGAAACAAACCUCAGAGGAGACGUUUCUCUCAACUAUGCUUCAAUGGCUGGGAUAUAUUUUCCUCACACCUUGUCCUCAAAGAGCUAUAUUGUCUUUCGUUGAUGUCGUACUCCUCGUGUUUCUCUUCGUGUUUGCUGCCACCAAGCUCUGGAAAAGGUCCACCUUCAAUGGUGGCUCCACUAACGACCUCAGCAGACCAUUCAUCAGAAAGAACAGACCCGUUUACUCAAUAACUGUGCGGUUUAAGUUAACCAUAACUGUAGUGGUUGUUUUGACUAUACUCUACACGGUUGCUUCUGUUCUUACGUUUAGCAGUACCUCCAUGGCGCCGUGGAAGCAGGUUGACGAGGUGUUUUGGUUAGUCCAAGCCAUAACACAGGCUGUGCUUGCCUUCUUCAUCAUCCACGAGAAAAGGAUUCAGGUCGUUGCACACCCUCUUUCCGUUCGAGUUUAUUGGAUUGUAUCUUUCUUUGUCAUUUCUUUAUUCACUGUUUCUGCGGUUAUACGUUUGGUCUCGGUGGACGUGGAUGAAGCCUUCGGCUUCGGGGUGGAUGAGGUGGUCUCUUUCAUUUCGUUCCCGCUGUCGUUAUUUCUUCUUUUUGUGGCGCUUAAAGGAUCCACCGGCAUUGUUUUGGCUACAGAAGAAACACGACCACUUGUGGAUGGAAAAACUAAGUUGCAUGAUGGUACUGAGAGAAAAUCCGAGGUUACUGGUUUUGCUUCAGCUUCUCUAUUAUCCAAGGCUUUUUGGAUUUGGAUAAACCCCUUACUGAGUAAAGGGUACAAGUCCGUGCUGAAGAUUGAUGAUAUUCCAACGCUUUCUCCGGAGCAUAGAGCUGAGAAAAUGUCAUCCAUUUUUGAAUCUAAAUGGCGUAUUUCAAACGAGACAUCAAAGCAUCCUGUUAGAAUGACUUUGCUUCGGUGCUUUUGGAAGGAGUUAGCCUUAAAUGCCGUGCUUGCAAUCAUUAGGCUCUGUGUCAUGUUUGUGGGGCCGAUUCUGAUACAAAGUUUUGUGGAUUUCACAUCAGGGAAGAGAAACUCUGAAUAUGAAGGAUACUACCUCGUGUUGAUUCUUUUCGUUGCUAAGUUCAUCGAAGUCAUGGCUACUCAUCAUUUCAACUUCCAAGCUCAAAAGCUUGGGAUGCUUAUACGCUCCACUCUUAUCUCCACUUUGUAUAGAAAGGGGUUAAAGCUAUCAUUCUCUUCUCGGAAGGAACAUGGAGUUGGGACAGUUGUGAAUUACAUGGCAGUGGAUACCCAGCAACUCUCUGACAUGAUGCUCCAGUUACACGCUGUGUGGAUGAUGCCACUCCAAGUUGGUAUUGCCUUGGUUCUGCUUUACAAUUGUUUAGGUGCAUCAGUUAUAGGCGCGUUUCUUGCUCUGCUCGGUGUUUUUGUCUAUUCUGUGAUGGGCACCCAAAGAAACAACAAGUUCCAACAAAAUCUGAUGGUGAGCCGGGACUCCAAAAUGAAAGCUGUGAAUGAGAUGCUUAGCUACAUGCGUGUGAUCAAGUAUCAGGCCUGGGAGGAACAUUUCAAUCAGAGAAUUUUGGGUUUCCGUGAAACAGAGUAUGGGUGGCUCUCCAAGCUGCUGUUCUCAAUUUGUGGCACCAUUGUUGUGUUGUGGAGCACACCGUUUUUGGCGUCAACUCUUACAUUUGGAACGGCUAUUUUGUUGGGAGUUCAACUUGAUGCAGGCACAGUGUUCACUGCAACAGCUGUGUUCAGGUUAUUGCAGGAGCCUAUUAGGACAUUCCCACAGUCUAUGAUAUCUCUUUCACAAGCAAGGAUAUCACUGGAGAGGUUAGACAAGUUCAUGUUGAGCGGAGAAUUGUCGAAUGAUUCAGUUGAGAGAGAGGAAGGAUGUGGUGGACAGACAGCCGUGGAAAUCAUACAUGGAACUUUUAGUUGGGAUGAUGAUAACACUCAGCAGGACUUGAAAAAUAUCAAUUUGAAUAUUAGAAAGGGUGAGCUUACAGCAAUUGUUGGGACCGUAGGGUCAGGAAAGUCGUCCCUUCUUGCAUCAAUUCUUGGAGAGAUGCACAAGAUUUCUGGAAAGGUAUGAUUUCUAGUUCAAAAUUUAGAACUUUUUUAAGGAUGUUUACAGUUGAGUCUGAUUAUGCAAUAAUAUAUUUCUGUGGAAGGUUCGGGUUUGUGGGAGUGUUGCUUAUGUUGCACAGACAUGUUGGAUUCAAAAUGGGACCAUUGAAGAAAACAUUCUCUUCGGUUUACCUAUGGACAGACAGAGGUACGAUGAAGUUAUCAGGGCGUGUUGUUUGGAGAAAGAUUUGGAAAUGAUGGAUUAUGGGGAUCAGACAGAAAUUGGAGAACGUGGUAUCAACCUAAGCGGAGGCCAGAAGCAGCGUAUACAACUUGCCAGGGCUGUGUAUCAAGACUGUGAUGUAUAUCUUCUUGAUGAUGUCUUCAGUGCUGUUGAUGCUCAUACAGGUUCUGAAAUAUUUAAGGUGACUAUUCCGAACAUUAGAGUCCUACUCUGGAUUACGUUUAGUGUAAAUGUACCUAUUUACUCAUUGCUAAAUUGUAUCAGGUUCAGGCAUGUGCGAGUUUGUUGCUUUAACAAUUUAACUAGUAUUCAUUGAAUUGUUACAUUAAGAAAUUCUACACAUUCCAGUUUGAUAUUGGUCAAACAUUGGAGAGGGUUAAACUCAAAACUUUGUCUAGAUUCUAACCCCUAAGCUUUUAGUGAUAUCCUACGAAUUAUCAAACAACUCUUCAUUUCUACCUAAAUAUUCUUCCUUAGUUUAGGUGCAAAAUCUAUGAUUUUUAAUGUUAGUGGAAUGGCUUCAAUACAGGAAUGCGUGAGGGGAGCUCUAAGAGGCAAGACCACUAUUCUUGUAACACAUCAAGUAGAUUUCUUACGUAAUGUGGAUCGUAUAUUAGUAAGUUUCUUUUCUCACGCUGUUAUGCUUCUUCAUUUGUUCUAUUCUUCGGAUUGAUUUGGGAAGUAAUUCAAAUACCUUUGUAUCUGCUUGAUAAAGGUGACGAGGGACGGUAAGAUAGUUCAAUCAGGGAAAUAUGAUGAUCUAUUAGAGUCUGGAAUGGAUUUUAAAGCUCUCGUCGUUGCGCAUGAGAGUUCCAUGGAAUUAGUGGAGUACUGUAUGGUCAUGCCAGGUGAAAAUUUGAACAAACCAACGAUAGCUCUAGAGGCAGCUUCAAUUAACAGGGGAACCAAUGGUGAAAACAAUUCUAUUGAUAAGCCCAAGUGUGGCAAGAAAAGUUCUAAACUCGUCCAAGAAGAGGAGAGAGCAACUGGAAAAGUGAGCUUACGUAUGUAUAAACUCUAUUGCACUGAGGCGUUUGGGUGGUUGGGCAUUACAACAGUAUUGGUCCUGUCUUUGUUAUGGCAAGCGUCUUUGAUGGCAAGUGAUUAUUGGUUGGCAUAUGAAACCUCAGAAGAACGUGCUAAAUUGUUUAACCCUUCUCUGUUCAUCUACGUCUAUGCAAUUAUUGCAGUUGUUUCCAGUGUUUUGUUAGUAGCCAGAUCCUACUUCUUUACUCUCAUGGGGCUAAGGACAGCACAAUUAUUCUUCACACAAAUUCUUCAUAGCAUCUUGCAUGCGCCCAUGUCUUUCUUUGACACCACGCCAUCUGGAAGAAUUCUAAGUAGGGUAAGAACUUAGUGCCAAGUAUGCCGUGAGGAACAUCUUCAUCAAUAUAAACUUUUACAUUUCAUAUGUUAAUCACACUCUUAUGAUGACUUAUUUUUCUUUUUUUUAACUUCUGCAGGCAUCCACUGAUCAAGCCAAUGUUGAUGGCCUUCUACCCUUAUACAUGGGAGCUAUUAUAAUCAUGCACUUAUCUUUGCUCGGCAUCUUCAUCAUAACCUGUCAAAAUUCUUGGCCAACUGUGAUUUUGAUAAUUCCUCUUGUUUGGUUAAAUAUGUGGUACCGGGUAUGAUUUUUAUUACCCUAAUGCUCUAAUGCUUUGCCUUUAUUUGGUUGCAAAUGUGUAAAACUGAAAAUACAUUCCAUCUUGUAAUAUGAAUUUGUGGAUUUUUACUAUAGCUUCCACCGUGUUAAAGCCAUUUACAGAGUUUUCUGUUCAUUGUCAAUGGAAAUUCGAAUGGCUGUGUUUGAUAAUGUGCAGAAAAAUAAACGAUUCCUGUGUUUGGAAUUGAAUUUAUCUUGUGUACUUUAUGUAAACGAUUCAUGCGUUUUCAGGGUUACUAUCUUGCAUCAUCUCGGGAAUUUACUCGCAUGGAUUCAAUUACCAAAGCCCCAGUUAUUCAUCACUUCUCCGAAAGCAUUGCAGGGGUCAUGACAAUCCGUUCAUUCAGAAAGCAAAAGAUAUUCUGUGAUGAAAAUCUGAAACGGGUGAAUGCUAAUUUGAGAAUAGAUUUCCACAACUAUAGUUGUAAUGAGUGGUUGGGAUUCCGCUUAGAAUUGAUUGGAAGCUUUGCCUUUUGCAUUUCUGCCAUGUUCAUGAUCAUCUUACCCAGCAGUAUCAUAAAGCCAGGUAAAUUGACACCAAAGAAACUCUCAAACUUCGGUGCCUAUUGUCUAUUUAUGUUAAUUUUACUCUCUGAUCACAAUAAUACUUCUUUAAAUUGCGUAUUUCUUACGAUUGUGUCUAUUUUCUGCAUACACAUCAGAUUAAAUUAUAGUACCUCGUAGUCUUGCAUUGCAUCUUAUACUAUAUAUGUCAACCAAAAUUUUAUUAUGAACUGAUUGGGUUGUUCUUCUUGAGGUAGAAAAUGUCGGUUUAUCUCUCUCUUAUGGGUUGUCCUUAAACACUGUUUUGUUCUGGGCUGUAUACAUGAGUUGUUUCAUCGAAAACAAGAUGGUGUCUGUCGAGAGGAUAAAGCAGUUUACAGAUAUUCCAUCGGAACCAGCAUGGAAUAUCAAGGAUCACCUACCUCCUUCAAAUUGGCCCGGUCAAGGAAAUGUGGAUAUCAGAGACUUAAAGGUAACUUGAGUAAGAAGAAAUUGAUUGUUUCACAUAUGAAAGCACAUCUUUUGAAAAAUAAUUCAUUGAUUUCUCUAACCUGAGCAUUGUUUCUAAUUUUGAGCUUUCCAUUACUAAUUUGCAUUGUGCAACACUAUCAUGAUGACUCGAGCUUCUGGUGAACAGGUCAGAUAUCGUCCAAAUACUCCUCUUGUGCUCAAAGGCAUUACUUUAAGCAUUGCUGGGGGUGAAAAAGUUGGUGUUGUGGGUCGAACUGGGAGUGGAAAGUCAACUUUAAUUCAAGUAUUAUUUAGGCUGGUUGAACCUUCGGGAGGGAAAAUAGUGGUUGAUGGUAUUGACAUAUCCAUCUUGGGACUUCACGAUCUUAGAUCACGGUUUGGCAUAAUUCCUCAGGAGCCUGUGCUUUUUGAAGGAACAGUCAGAAGCAACAUUGAUCCAAUUGGACAAUAUACAGAUGAAGAAAUAUGGAAGGUAAGUAGCGAACCAA
This 10468-nucleotide long non-coding RNA is filed under the name Vigna radiata. RNAcentral's name for it is "long non-coding RNA (VRAD_LNC002439)". Lineage: Eukaryota; Viridiplantae; Streptophyta; Magnoliopsida; Fabales; Fabaceae. The record is from RNAcentral.